Molecule: ribosomal RNA, 870 nt
Filed under: Pseudocercospora eupatorii-formosani
Lineage: Eukaryota; Fungi; Ascomycota; Dothideomycetes; Mycosphaerellales; Mycosphaerellaceae
Description: eukaryotic LSU rRNA
Rfam family: Eukaryotic large subunit ribosomal RNA
Source: RNAcentral
CUACAUAUCAAUAAGCGGAGGAAAAGAAACCAACAGGGAUUGCCCUAGUAACGGCGAGUGAAGCGGCAACAGCUCAAAUUUGAAAUCUGGCGUAAGCCCGAGUUGUAAUUUGUAGAGGAUGCUUCUGGGUAGCGGCCGGUCUAAGUUCCUUGGAACAGGACGUCAUAGAGGGUGAGAAUCCCGUAUGUGACUGGCUUGCACCCUCCACGUAGCUCCUUCGACGAGUCGAGUUGUUUGGGAAUGCAGCUCUAAAUGGGAGGUAAAUUUCUUCUAAAGCUAAAUACCGGCCAGAGACCGAUAGCGCACAAGUAGAGUGAUCGAAAGAUGAAAAGCACUUUGGAAAGAGAGUUAAAAAGCACGUGAAAUUGUUGAAAGGGAAGCGCCCGCAACCAGACUUUGCGGCGGUGUUCGGCUGGUCUUCUGACCGGUUUACUCGCCGCCGUGAGGCCAUCAUCGUCUGGGACCGCUGGAUAAGACCUGAGGAAUGUAGCUCCCUUCGGGGUGUGUUAUAGCCUCUGGUGAUGCAGCGCGUCUCGGGCGAGGUCCGCGCUUCGGCAAGGAUGAUGGCGUAAUGGUUGUCGGCGGCCCGUCUUGAAACACGGACCAAGGAGUCUAACAUCUAUGCGAGUGUUCGGGUGUCAAACCCCUACGCGUAAUGAAAGUGAACGGAGGUGGGAACUUUUUGUGCACCAUCGACCGAUCCUGAUGUCCUCGGAUGGAUUUGAGUAAGAGCAUAGCUGUUGGGACCCGAAAGAUGGUGAACUAUGCCUGAAUAGGGUGAAGCCAGAGGAAACUCUGGUGGAGGCUCGCAGCGGUUCUGACGUGCAAAUCGAUCGUCAAAUUUGGGUAUAGGGGCGAAAGACUAAUCGA